AGAGUUUGAUCAUGGCUCAGGAUGAACGCUGGCGGCGUGCCUAAUACAUGCAAGUCGAGCGGUAAGGCUCUCACAGGUUAUUUGAUUACGGCAACUUCGGUUGUCACAGCAAACCAAAUCAACCCCGGCUGGGGAAAGGAGAUGGCGAGGGAAAAUCGAAUAUCGUGUGAGAGUACACGAGCGGCGGACGGCUGAGUAACGCGUAGGAACGUACCCCAAAGUGAGGAAUAAGCACCAGAAAUGGUGUCUAAUACCGCAUAUGAUCUAAGGAUUAAAGCUUCGGCGCUUUGGGAACGGCCUGCGUAAGAUUAGCUAGUUGGUGAGGUAAUGGCUCACCAAGGCGACGAUCUUUAGCUGGUUUGAGAGGAUGAUCAGCCAGACUGGGACUGAGACACGGCCCAGACUCCUACGGGAGGCAGCAGUAGGGAAUUUUCCACAAUGGGCGAAAGCCUGAUGGAGCAACGCCGCGUGCAGGAUGAAUGCCUUCGGGUUGUAAACUGCUUUUAUAUGUGACGAUUAUGACGGUAGCAUAUGAAUAAGGAUCGGCUAACUCCGUGCCAGCAGCCGCGGUCAUACGGAGGAUCCAAGCGUUAUCCGGAAUUACUGGGCGUAAAGAGUUGCGUAGGUGGCAUAGUAAGCGGAUAGUGAAAGCGUGUGGCUCAACCAUACACACAUUGCCUGAACUGCUAAGCUAGAGUAUGAGAGAGGUAGAUGGAAUUCCCUGUGUAGGAGUGAAAUCCGUAGAUAUAGGGAGGAACACCGAUGGCGUAGGCAGUCUACUGGCUCAUUACUGACACUCAGGCACGAAAGCGUGGGGAGCAAACGGGAUUAGAUACCCCUGUAGUCC
RNAcentral lists this ribosomal RNA (847 nucleotides) under uncultured bacterium. Its description in RNAcentral is "bacterial SSU rRNA". It matches the Rfam family "Bacterial small subunit ribosomal RNA", at positions 8 to 796 of the family's 1533-position model. The record is from RNAcentral.